GAGAAGAAUGAGAUUUUCAAAGUGGAGGGGUAACUAUGAACCAUGAAGAAACACUGGAGUCCAAACAAUGUUUCAACUCAAGGAUAUUUUUGAUAGAGCUGCUGUUGGACUUCAUGAAGUGUGCUGUUUUCAAUGUCUUCUCUCUUUCCAUUGACUCCAUCCACUUCCAGCUUAAUAUACACUUCUGGAUUCAGACAAGUGGAGAAGGAGAAAAACCAGUAUUUCUAGGCACAUUCUCUGUAGGGUGUGUGUGACUGGAAUUCACUUAUCAAGAUUCAGAUAGUAACAGAUUGGGGCCCUAGAAGGCCAUAGAGCUCUGUGCCUUUCAAUUGGAGGUCUACAGAUGCAGUUUUGGGAAUGAACAAUUCCCUGGCUCAGUACUGCCAAUAAUAGCCUAAUAGAAAUUGUACAGCUCCUGAAGCGAGGAUGAGCAAGGGUAUGGGCCAGUAGCUUAUUCUAGCCUUAAAAUACCAGCAGAAGUUAUGAAUAUCACUUUUGGACCAAGGAGUUUGAACACAUGAAUGUCUAUCUCCAACUACUUUCUGGAUGCAGAUUUAAAGACUAAGGUGUGAAAAUGCACCCCUGUGCAAACAACUGAGUUGCCUCCUGCUUGAUACCAAGAAUGCAAAAAUUAAUUCAAGAUUUCUUGGAAUUUAUUUUCACCAGUCUCUAGGAGAAUUGGAGGUAUUGGAAAGAACCAAAGCAUGAGAAGGUACUUGGCUUUGUGAAUGAUCACAGUUAACAGAAACUGAUUUUUGGUCAUUCUCGGCCUGAGACGAGCCUUCCCCACUCCCAUUGCUGGGUAAUGUGGGCAGGUGGGUGUAACGGGUUUUCAGCACUAACGGCCAUUCCUUGAGGCUGCCACAGUUUAAAAGUCAAUGUGAGAAAGGAGAGG
Long non-coding RNA from Marmota monax (woodchuck), 895 nucleotides. RefSeq lists it as uncharacterized. Lineage: Eukaryota; Metazoa; Chordata; Mammalia; Rodentia; Sciuridae. The transcript is spliced from 4 exons. The record is from RefSeq and is a predicted model, not a curated record.